UACAGAGGGUGCGAGCGUUAAUCGGAAUUACUGGGCGUAAAGCGCGCGUAGGCGGCUUUUCAAGUCGAUUGUGAAAUCCCCGGGCUUAACCUGGGAACUGCAGUCGAGACUGUCUAGCUAGAGUAUGGGAGAGGGAAGUGGAAUUUCAGGUGUAGCGGUGAAAUGCGUAGAUAUCUGAAGGAACAUCAGUGGCGAAAGCGGCUACCUGGCCCAUUCUUGACGCUGAGGCGCGAAAGCUAGGGGAGCAAACGGG
RNAcentral lists this ribosomal RNA (253 nucleotides) under uncultured bacterium. RNAcentral's name for it is "partial 16S ribosomal RNA". It matches the Rfam family "Bacterial small subunit ribosomal RNA", at positions 524 to 776 of the family's 1533-position model. The record is from RNAcentral.